Molecule: long non-coding RNA, 9007 nt
Filed under: Vitis vinifera (wine grape)
Lineage: Eukaryota; Viridiplantae; Streptophyta; Magnoliopsida; Vitales; Vitaceae
Description: long non-coding RNA (VVIN_LNC007973)
Source: RNAcentral
AAAUAUUACGCAGAUCAUAAAUGACAAAAAGAAAUUUUUUUUCCUCCUAUUUUCAUAUUCUGGUGGCUGCGAUGAUCCACGCAGCAUCAGAUAGCAUAUACAAACAAAUUGGAGUUUUGAACGCACAUCCCAAAAUAAAAGUCGAAUCUUUAUGUGUUCGCUGUAAAGCAAAUCUUGAUUUUGUAAAAUAAAAACAUGCCCCCGAAAAUGUAACAUAAAAAACCCUAAUCUGCAGACCGCGAAAGAAAUAGAAAACAAACAUAAAUAAAUAAAUAAAACAAAAGCAAUUAAUGUUGAUGAUGAGAGCGACAGACAUAUAAGGAUUCUAAGUUCUGACCUUUCCUCUUUGUUAGUCUGUUUUUUUUCUUUUUCUUUUCAAGACCAGGGCCGGAUCUAAAGCUCUAUCAAGCAAGUUCGGGGUGAUGAGAUCUGUUUGAUUAAGACGGGAUCAGCCUGCCUGCCUUCCUUCUCAGAUGAGAAAAGAAUGAAAAGUCCUUCGGCACAAGUACUUGUUUCUGGACGCAGAUUAGACCGACAGAGGGAUCGAAUUGGCUGUGUGUCGCUGCCCCCUCUCUCGCUCUCGCCCCGCCAUCUGCACCACCACCACCAUAGAUGUGUGAGGAAGAAAAAGACAGGUACGGAUAGACAGUUGUCUAAAUUUACGUUCAUACCCCCACUAUUCAUGAAAACAUCCAAAGUAGUAUUUUUCCCAUUUCCAUUCCAUUUGGUAAAUCGAGUGGGAAUUUUGAAAAAAAAAAAAAAAUAUAUAUAUAUAUAUAUAUAUAGCAUGGUUAAAAAAUAUUUCCAAAUAGAGUUAAAUAAGAAAUUAUUUUUAUAAAACAUAAUUUUAUUUUACAAUUGUUUAAAAAAUAAUAAUUUGAAAUUUUGCAUUAAAAUUAUAUUAUUAAAAAAGAAAAUUUCAAUUUUUCAGUAAAAUUUUAUAAAUUUUCUAAUUUCUUAUUGAGAUGAAAGUAUGGAGGAGAGAAUAGCGAGAGAAUUAACGGUGGCAAUGAGGUUCAUAAAUCAAUACUCGACCUAAUAUUGUAUAAUAACGAUCUGCUCCAACCGUGUAGAGAUUGUCCGUUUUGGACCAAAAAAGACCAUCACGGCUUUAAAACGCGUUUAUUUGGUUAAGAGGAGUAUGCACAUAUAUAGCGCUAAGAACUUUCUCCCUUGUCCAAUGUGGGAUAUUACAAACACCCUUUCAUCGAAAUACAAUGUCCUCGUUGUGUCCUAUGAGAUUGUGGGGUCAAAUAGACAAACACCCUUUAUAGGGCCAAAUAAACCCCCACACGGGGGUUCAGGAUCGGUUAUGAUACCAUUUAUAAUGGCUCGCAUCGGAUAUGAGAGAAAAUUCUUAGCAUUAUAUAUAUGUAAAGGCUCCUCUUAACCAAAUAGACGCGUUUUAAAGUCGUGAGGGCUCAUUUGGGUCUAAAAGGGACAAUAUCUACACGGUUGGGAGCAGGUCGUUACAAAUGGUAUCAGAGUCGAUCCCCAACCCCGAUGUGGUGGUUUGUUUGGUCGUAUAAGAGGUGUUUGUCUGUUUGACCCUGCAAUCCAGUGGAACACAACGAGGACAUUGUGUUCGCAUGGGGAGAGGGGGUGUUUGUGACAUCCCACAUCAGAUAGGGGGAAAAGUUCCUAACGUUAUAUAAGUAUGAAUUCCUCUUAACCUUGUAGACGUGUUUUAAAGCCUUGAGGACCCCUCUUUGGGUCCAAAGCGGACAAUAUCUACAUGGUUGGGAGCGGAUAAAAUUUUUUUGCAUUUAAAACCCCUAAAUAUAAAUUAGAUCUUUCAUAUAUUCUCUAUUCAAAAAACCCUUUUACAUAGAGAUUAGAAAGAUUAGAAAGCAUAGGGUUGAAGAUUUGGAGAUUUAGGGUUUGAAGAUCAAUUUUUCAGGUAAAAUUUUUAAUCUUUAAAUUAAUAUUUUAUAUUUGUUAAUUAGUUUUGAACACUUUAGAUAUUCUUUGAAAUAUCUUAAUUUUGAUUAGAGUUCGUUUAAUUAAUUUCUAUGUCAAAAAGAUUGAAAGUUUAUGAACAUAGUUUGAUUUAUUAAUGGAGAUCGAUAAAUUUUGAUUACUCAAAUGAAUAGAUCUAAAUAAAAAAAAAUUAUAUAGUUUCGGAUAUGAAAAUUACAUAAAAUUUGUGAGUAUGGAGGUUAAAAGUUUUGACUUUAGAGAGGGAAAAAAAUGAUGAAAGAUGUAUAGGAAGGAUUUGACAUGUAGAAAAAAAAAAUUGCAUGGGAUAUUUGUUAAGUUUCAAUAGAAGAUUUAAAUAAUAGAAAUAAUAGUUUAAUGCAAAUAAAUAUUCUUAAAAUAUUUAAUUUAGAUAAAUUAGAAAAAUAAAUAAAUUAUUGUUUAGGAAGUUGAAAAUAAUAUUGGAUGGUAAUAAUAUUAAUAUAAGAAAUUAAUUAGGAUCCCUAAUACUAAAAAAAACAUUUUUAAAAUUGUCAAAUUUAUAUAUUUAGAUAAAUAAUCAAUAUUGUGUAUGAUAUUAUGUUAGAUGAUGAGUAAAUUCGUUAAGAUAAAUACUUCAAGUUUUUGAGCGCUUCUUCAAGGUAAGGGAAAUUAAUGCAGUUUUUUAUAAAAGAAAAUAAUUUUCUUUUUAUAUUGUAUUUUGAAAUGUGUAAAAAUAUUAUUUCUAUCAUUUUCGUAUGAAUCAAAUAUGUCUUUUGUAUGGAAAGUGUAUUUUAGAAUUUUCUUUGUUUAUGAAAAGUGAAAAAUUGAAGAGAUAUGAUAUUUUGUUUGCUAAGUUUGAAUUAAUGAAAUAAAGUGUUUGACUUACAUGGUCCUAGUCAACGGGUUAUAAUUGUUGACAUUUUCGGCCCUAAUCAAUAGGUUAUAAUAGUUGAUAUUAUAUGGUCAUAGUUAACGGGUUAUAAUAGUUGACCUUAUGGUCCUAGUCAACAGGUUAUAAUUGUUGACAUUUUCGGCCCUAAUCAACAGGUUAUAAUAGUUGAUAUUAUAUGGUCAUAGUUAACGGGUUAUAAUAGUUGACCUUAUGGUCCUAGUCAAUGGGUUAUAAUUGUUGACAUUUGGUUUUGUUCACCUUAACUAGAACAAAUUUGAAGCUAGUCACUCAUUUGCGAAGUCUCACUUAAUUGAGCAUCAUUUGUUAUUUGAUAACUAGAGUAAAGAUAUUUUGAAUGCAUUUGAUUUGGUUUUGAUGAUAAAUUGUUUUGAAUUGGAUAUAAGAAAAUUUUGUUGAAAAGUUUUGAAUAUAUUAGCAUGUUUAACUCAAAAGUUUUGAUGAAAAUGAAUAUAUGUUAUAUCUCUUGUUUGUAAUUAUAAUUAAAAAUGUUUGAUCCAUGAAAUUGUAUUGAUGUUCCUUAUCGAGUUUUAAGCUCAUGGCCCUUCGUUGAUAAUUUUUUUUAGAUACUCUCAGUUUGGCGAGGAGUGAUGGUUAGGCUGAGGAAUUUUUCUUUGUUAGGAUUUGGUUCAAACUUUAUUUUGGACAUUAUUUAGAUACUAAAAUUUAAUUCUCAUUUAAAUUAUUUAAAUUUGGAGUUAUUUGGACAAUAACACUCUGGUUGAUGUGUUAGUUUUUUUUAAAGUUGAUACUUGAAAAUUUUAGAAUCUUAUCCUACUACUCCGAAUAGGAAUUUGGUAAUUGGUAAAUUUUCAGUUACAAUAUGAAUGUUUAUGUCUUUUCCAUUUUGAGCCUUUGGGCUUGAGGUGUGAAAUGGUCAUCAUACCCUUGGAAUGGGUUUUGAAGCAUGACAUGUAUGGUCAAUUUUGAGUCUUUAUUUUUGAACUAGUAUAUUUAGGUUAUAGGUUCGUAAAUAUGCUACAAUUGUUAUCUACGUUAGUGAAAAGUCAAUAUAUAUAGAAUGAGAGAGAAAACUAAGGAAUUAUAAUUAAUAUUCUUUUUGUUAAUUUCAUUUUAAAUUUAUGAGAAGUUGUUAUAAGAUAUUAAAAUUGAGAGAUCGAACAUUGAAUCGAAAAAGUUAAUGAUUCAUAAUUCACUAAUUGGGUUGAUGGUUGAAUUAUAAUCGAGACAGUGAAGUAAUAAAUAUAUAAUUUAUAUUUUAUUUAAAUUAAAAAUAAUUAUAAAAAAUUUAAUAUAUAUAUAUAUAUAAUUAAAAUUAUUAAUAAUAUGUCAUUUUGUAUAUUUGAUAUUUGAAAUUAAAUAAUAAAGAUAAAUACAAAUGUAUUAAUAUAUUGAAUUUUAUUAAAUAGAAUAUGUAUAAUAUUUAAAUAUGAAUAUAUAUUUAAGAUGAAAAUAAUAUAAAUAUUUAUGGAUUUUGUUAUUUUAAAAUUUAAAAUUUUAUUAUAUAUAAUUAAUUUAUAUUAUUUUUCAUAUUUAUUAUUUAUCAUUGAUAAUUACUAUAAAAAUAAACAUAGUUAUAAAUAUUUAUAUUUUUGUUAAACAAUAGGCUCGAGCUCCUAUCAUGCAAGAUUCUUUUUUAUUAAAGACAAAAUCUAUCCCACAUCAUAAAAUGACAAAGCAAAUGUGUGAAAUAAAUACAAAUGCACAACUCAAAGGGUAACUAAUUGUGAUGGCGAGCUUUGGAGGGCAACAGAGAAAGUCCACCUAGGUGUUUGUCAAACAAGGGUUGAUUGAUUCAUAUGAAACUAGACAAUCCAUCCGACUCGGUGGUUCGAAGACGGCCCAACCCUUGGACAUUUCACGAACCAAACCGGAUCGGAAACGUUGUUGGUCGACCAUUGGAUCGACUUCUGAUUUUUAAAACAAUAUUAUUUUGUCAUCUUUUUGGAAUCUUCAGUAAUUGAUCUUACUGUUAUCAUCAAUAUAGACACUCUACUAAACAACAUAAAUUAUUUGCAUCUUCAUGGUUUUGUUUGAAUUCCUUUUUUAUGUAUCAUAUUUUGGAUAAAUUUCCCUAUCAAUUUCACAAAUCCAUUUACUUUCAUAUAACAAAUUGGGUAUUAGAGUACACAACAACAAAACAUGUAGUUGGUGAAAAUGUCAAAUGAGUCAUCAUCCAUGAAAACUAUGAUCUCAAAUGCCAAAUUUGAGAUUAAAACUUUUAAUGCUUUGAACAUUUCUAGAAUACAUAACGAGGUUAAAGAUCGAUUGAUCCAAUAUGAUUUAAAUGUGGCAUUAGAAUAGGAAAAACUUGUUGAGGGUAGAAGAAAUUGAAUAGUUACACUUGUGGCACUAUUAUAUCAUAUCUAACCAAGGAUGUGAAGGCUUUUAUAUAUAUAUAUAUAUAUAUAUAUAUAAAAGUUCAAUAUAAAGAAGGUAUGAUUAUGACAACUCAUUUAAAAUGAAUUUGAUAAAAUUCUUAUUGACAGUAAAACUUUUGGAUAUUAAAAUUGAUAAUGAAGUUAAAGGUGUUAUUGUUUCUAAAUUCAUCGUCAAACUCAUAUGAUCACUUGACUACGACCUUACUUUAUGAGAGAGAAAAAUGUUAAAUUCAAAGAUAUCUCAAAUACAUUAACAAAUAAUGAAUAUAGAAAAUUAGAUGUUGAGAAACAAAAUAACUAUUUCUUAGAAGGUUAAACUAUAUGAGGUAGAUUUGAGUAGAAAAAAAAAUGUGGAAAAAAAGAAAAAUCUCAUUCAAAUUCAAAGGUCAUCCUACAAUAAAUGAAUUUUUAUUUUUCCAUAAUAAGAAGUAUUGGAAGAAAGAUUAUCAUAAACUAAAAAUAAAUAAAAUCAAAAAGCUAGUGUUCCAUGUGAUGAAAAUUUUAAUGAUUCAAAUUUUGCCUUGGCUUCCACCUCAUUGUCACAUAGAUGAGUAAGUCUUGGACUCAAGAUAUACUCACCAUAUGUGUCCCAAUAGGGAUUGGUUUUCUAGUUCUAAAAGACUAGAUGGAAGAACUUUGUUGAUGGGUAAUGAUAAUGCCUAUAAAAUACAUAAAGUAACAUUAAGUUAUAUUUACAUAAUAGUAUCACAAGGUGUUUGAUUAAUGUCCAAUAUAUGAAGAAUGAAAUUAGUUCCAUUUCCCUUCAGGAAGAAGGUUGUUGGAUGUAAGUUGGUAUAUGUAUAGAAUGAAAUCUAAUCAAUAAGGAAAGAUUGUAUAGAUAUCUAGGCUAAAUUGUUUACAAAAUGAUAUAUACAAUAGAAAGGCAGCAUUGACAAUAAAGAAGUGUUCUCUCCUAUAAUUAACCGUUUUUCUAUUAGAUUGUUGCUAGCCCUUGUUGCUUAGUAUGAUCUAAAGUUGUCUCAAUUAAAUGUGAAAAUUGUCUUUUUCCACAAUGAUUUAGAUGAAAAUAUAUGUCUUAAUGUAAGGGUUAUAAAGAAUUUGAAAAAGAAUAAUUUUUUCGUAAAUUAACCAAAUAGUUAAAACAAUCUCCUCAACAAUGGCACACACGAUUUGACCAAUUUAUGGUAAGAAAAAAUAAAUAAUAAAAAAUAAAAAACAUUAAAAACUAAUUCGAUUAUUGUGUUUAUUUUAGCAUAUUAUCUUUUAGAAACUUUAUGUAUUUGUUAAUAUAUGUUGAUGAUAUAUUAAUUGUGUGAAACAGUAUGACAAGAAUUGAGAUGUUGAAAAAUCAAUUGAGGAUCGAGUUUGCAAUUACGGAUCUUGGAAAUAAGCGAAAUAUUCUCUAAAUAAAUAUAAUAAGGAACAAAAGAAAGGGGCUGAUUAUAAAAGAAACAUUUUUUUUUUGUUGGGAACCUUGGAUUACUCUGUUCCUUAGCCCUGAAUCUUGUAAGGUGCAUGCAAUUUAUUUAUAGGCUCUUUAGAUCUAAUACAACGAAAAAUAUGACAUUAAAAACCAUAUUAAAACUUAGAUCUAAGGAUUUAGAAGUCAUACUUGUGAUUUGGGUGUUCCGAACUUAAAUCAAAUCCAUAGAAGAUGUCGUUUAUCUAACAAUCUUCCAUUCGAUCUCUCAUUUCACACAUCCUCAUACUAGUACCCUCUUUCUCUCACUUGAGGGUGGUUAGGGUUUGUUCUCUCUUUUUGGAAUAUGAAUGACAAAUGUCUAAAGCUCUAACCCCUAAAUGGGUAUUUAUAAGUUUUCCUAUGAGCUUAAAUGACUUGAGUUCAAAUUGAGUUUGGAUCACCUACUUCAGCUUACCUGGGUCCUAAUUAAUUAAUUAGCUCUAUUGAGCUUCGAUUAAUUAAUUAACCAAAUUCAAAAACUUCAUUCAUUAGAUCUGAUGCAACUUACAUUUUUACCUAAAUGCCCUUAUGUUUUUAUUAAAAUGACUUACGUACACUUGUGAACUAAAAACCCAAAAUCCCUCAAACAAAAUAUGUCACCAUGAACUAGGAGCUCAAGUAAGGAUCACUAGAACCCAUAGAAAAAUAGUAGUUCCCACAAAAUCAAAAUUUGAAAUCGACUCAACACUCCAUUAAAGAGAAUCAAUUGCAUUUUAGUAUCUUAUGUAAUUAUAGCAAGGCGAAGCUUUGACCUAUGACUUACUAUCCACUAUAUCAAAACUCCUUAUGAAUUGGUGUUUAUUAUUUAACAAGGUAGUGUUAUCAAACCUCUCAAGAUUACCUUUCCGAUCAUUAAGUCAAAAAUGAUCCUAUUAUGUAACAAAUUGAUAUACUAUAACUCAUAAAGAACUUAUGUUAAAUUCCACUAAAGGAAUUGUUUUGGACAAGUCUUGUUGAUCACAUAUCCAUUAGAUCACCUAAUGGUUUACUAUCCUAAUCACAUAAGAUAUCAUAGUAUUUUUUUAUUGAAAAUACCUAUUGCUACCAGCCUCUAUUAACAUUGACCCAAUUUGUAGGAAUAUAUGAUCAUAUUAGGGUUUCAAAUCAUAGGUCAAAGUCUCUUGUUGACAUCAACAUAGUUUUAACAUCCUCUUAAGGUUAAGAGUUCAUGGAGUAUAGUAGUUUGGUGAAUCCUAAUAAUUGAUAGUUUUACAUCAUGACUCACCGUAGGCCCUAUUUAAUGUAUAACUAUAUAUACUAAUGCACUUAUAAUGGAAACUCUAUCUUGAUGCUUAAGACAACUUACUUCUCUAAUUAGAAGGUAGUAUACUACAAUUUAUGUUAAAUUGCACAAAUUCAUAAACCAAAUAUGAAUUACUAUCAUUUUGUAAAGAACUCACGACUUAAAUCUUUUGUGUUUUUCUUAAUGCACUUAAGUUAUAUACAAUAUAAGUGGUAUGAACAUGAAUGUUUGGAUAACCAAUUAAUAUAUAAGGGAUAAUAAGAGGAAUAAGAAAUAUAAAUAAAUAAUUUUAUCAAUGAAUUUAAAAUUUGUUACAUCAUGUCAUGCUUUAUAUAACUCUAUCCCGACAUGUUUGAAGUACUUUUGGUUUGAUUUUUAAAACAGAGUUAGUAGGUAUUCAUUUGGCACCUCAUAUGAAGCUUAGUGCAAAGAUGUCUCCUUACUCAUACGAAGAAGUCGUCGAGGACAUGAAUAAUGUUUCAUAUGAUAAUGUCAUUGAAAGUUUGAUGCAUCUCAUAUUUUUGCACUAAGCUUAACAUUUCACAUGCUAUUAGUAAUUCAUAAAUCCAAUGAAAAAACCUUGACAAAUACUUUGAUAUAUGUUAUUGCACAGUUGGUGUUAGAGUAGUGUUCUAACCAAAAAGUUUAGCACAAGCUACGAGUGUGAUGGAUUUGGAGUCUUUAGGUGAACUUGAUAAGCUCAAGUCUACCAUUUCUAUAUUUAUGAAUGUUUUCAAUUGUCAAUUUAUUUUCUAUAUUUCUAUUUUUUUUAUUAUUGAGCUUUUAUUUUAGAAUAAUUAAAAUAUAUUAUCAAAAAAUACCUUAUUUUUAGGACAAGUUCUUGAAAAAAUGAUUUUUAUGGAAAAAAUAUUAAAUAUAUUGUUGAGUAUGAAAGUCAAUUUUAAAAUACAAUUUUAUAAAAAAUAAGUUUGAAUUUACCAAUCUAAUAAGUCAAACCAUCGAUUAAUUGAUGUUUCAUUAAUUGAUGUUUCAAUAUACAAUUGACUCUGCAUCGUCCAAAUCAAUAAUAUAAUUUUAAUUUGAUGCCUAAUUUAAUUUUUAAAACAUUAUUGAAUUAAGAUUAGAGAUUCGACGAUGAUUGAUCUAGCCAUUAACCAUGAAUUUAUAACAUUUUUGUGCAAUGACCGAUUCAAUUUUUAAAACAUUGUUGAAACAAGGUUAGAGAUCGG